AAACUUACCUACCCUUGACAUGGUCGGAAUCCUGAAGAGAUUCGGGAGUGCUCGAAAGAGAACCGGCGCACAGGUGCUGCAUGGCUGUCGUCAGCUCGUGUCGUGAGAUGUUGGGUUAAGUCCCGCAACGAGCGCAACCCUUGUCCUUAGUUGCUACGCAAGAGCACUCUAAGGAGACUGCCGGUGACAAACCGGAGGAAGGUGGGGAUGACGUCAAGUCCUCAUGGCCCUUAUGGGUAGGGCUUCACACGUCAUACAAUGGUCGGAACAGAGGGUUGCCAACCCGCGAGGGGGAGCUAAUCCCAGAAAACCGAUCGUAGUCCGGAUUGCACUCUGCAACUCGAGUGCAUGAAGCUGGAAUCGCUAGUAAUCGCGGAUCAGCAUG
RNAcentral lists this ribosomal RNA (385 nucleotides) under Burkholderia sp. AC39. RNAcentral's name for it is "bacterial SSU rRNA". It matches the Rfam family "Bacterial small subunit ribosomal RNA", at positions 966 to 1356 of the family's 1533-position model. The record is from RNAcentral. Lineage: Bacteria; Pseudomonadati; Pseudomonadota; Betaproteobacteria; Burkholderiales; Burkholderiaceae.